UACGGGGGGAGCAAGCGUUGUCCGGAAUCACUGGGCUUAAAGGGCGCGUAGGCGGCAUAGCAAGUCCGGGGUGAAAGCCCCCGGCUCAACCGGGGAAGUGCCUUGGAAACUGCUGUGCUCGAGGGAGGUAGGGGUCGAGGGAACUUCUGGUGGAGCGGUGAAAUGCGUUGAUAUCAGAAGGAACGCCGGUGGCGAAAGCGCUCGACUGGACCUUUUCUGACGCUGAGGCGCGAAAGCUAGGGGAGCAAACGGG
RNAcentral lists this ribosomal RNA (253 nucleotides) under uncultured bacterium. Its description in RNAcentral is "partial 16S ribosomal RNA". It matches the Rfam family "Bacterial small subunit ribosomal RNA", at positions 524 to 776 of the family's 1533-position model. The record is from RNAcentral.